This 505-nucleotide ribosomal RNA is filed under the name uncultured bacterium. RNAcentral describes it as "bacterial SSU rRNA". It matches the Rfam family "Bacterial small subunit ribosomal RNA", at positions 8 to 507 of the family's 1533-position model. The record is from RNAcentral.
AGAGUUUGAUCAUGGCUCAGAUUGAACGCUGGCGGCAUGCUUUACACAUGCAAGUCGAACGGCAGCGCGGGGGCAACCCUGGCGGCGAGUGGCGAACGGGUGAGUAAUGCAUCGGAACGUAUCCUGUAAUGGGGGAUAACGUAGCGAAAGUUACGCUAAUACCGCAUACGCUCGAGAGAGGAAAGUGGGGGAUCGCGAGACCUCACGUUAUAGGAGCGGCCGAUGUCCGAUUAGCUAGUUGGUGGGGUAAAGGCCUACCAAGGCGACGAUCGGUAGCUGGUCUGAGAGGAUGAUCAGCCACACUGGGACUGAGACACGGCCCAGACUCCUACGGGAGGCAGCAGUGGGGAAUUUUGGACAAUGGGCGAAAGCCUGAUCCAGCCAUGCCGCGUGCGGGAAGAAGGCCUUCGGGUUGUAAACCGCUUUAGUCCGGGAAAAAGGGGUGCGAGGAUAAUACCCUUGUGCUUUGAUGGUACUGGAAGAAUAAGCACCGGCUAACUACGUG